CCCAGACUCCUACGGGAGGCAGCAGUGGGGCCUCUUGCACAAUGGGGGGCCCCCUGAUGCAGCGCCGCCGCGUGCGCGCUGAAGUAUUUCGGUAUGUAAAGCUCUCUCAGCAGGGACGAACAUGACGGUCCCUGACUAAGAAGCCUCGGCUAACUACGUGCCAGCAGCCGCGGUAAUACGUAGGGGGCAAGCGUUAUCCGGAUUUACUGGGUGUAAAGGGAGCGGAGACGGCUGUGCAAGCCAGAUGUGAAAGCCCGGGGCUCAGCCCCGGGACUGCAUUUGGAACUGCGUGGCUUGAGUGUCGGAGAGGCAGGCGGAAUUCCUAGUGUAGCGGUGAAAUGCGUAGAUAUUAGGAGGAACACCAGUGGCGAAGGCGGCCUGCUGGACGAUGACUGACGUUGAUGCUCGAAAGCGUGGGGAGCAAACAGGAUUAGAUACCCUAGUA
Molecule: ribosomal RNA, 445 nt
Filed under: uncultured bacterium
Lineage: Bacteria
Description: bacterial SSU rRNA
Rfam family: Bacterial small subunit ribosomal RNA
Source: RNAcentral